This is a long non-coding RNA of Nicotiana tabacum (common tobacco), 678 nucleotides long. RefSeq lists it as uncharacterized. Lineage: Eukaryota; Viridiplantae; Streptophyta; Magnoliopsida; Solanales; Solanaceae. The record is from RefSeq and is a predicted model, not a curated record.
UACUAAAGCCCCCUAUACUAAAGCCUCCUCUCAAUUGCUCAGGGUAGUCUUUCUCAGAGUAGUCUAGAUCACAUCCCACAAUACAUGCCGGAAGAAGGGAGUAGGUGUUUGAAUUGAUAUCUUGGUCAGUGAAAAUAUUUAUGCAGACAAUCUUUCUAAUGGGUAUAUAAAAAGAAUAUGUUUUGGUGUCACUUUAGGAUGGAAAUGACAAUUGUUUGGAUUGGACUGAGCAGAAAAAUGAUAAUUUUUCAGUGUAAUCUUACUGCAAAUUUUUGGUCUAUUCGGCCUUGGAGUAUUAUCUUGGGAUCCAUUGUGCCAUAUGAAGUGGCAUGCUUUUCUUGGGACUGAUUCAUGAUGGUUGUCUGAUUCAACCAAAUUUCUACUAUAUAUAAGCCAACAAAGGUGUACGAACACUGCACCAAAAUAUUGUAUUUUGUGCUUUGACAAAGGAUGUAACGAAUAGCUGGCGUCAGGUAUUUCAAUUAUAGUUUCGGUGCUCUUUGUUCUCGGAGAAGCUCCUUGUGGUUAGCUAUAUAUAAGUUUAUAUCAUUUACUAAAUCUUCAUGAGCUUUCAACUUCUAAAUGUCAAGUAUCUUGAGGAUGAAACCUGCCUUUGCUGUUGACAUUCUAAUUCGGCACCAUUGUGGGUAUUAUUAAAAAUCAAGUUUGCCUUUUUAA